CGCUGGCGGCAGGCCUAACACAUGCAAGUCGAGCGGUAGAGAGAAGCUUGCUUCUCUUGAGAGCGGCGGACGGGUGAGUAAUGCCUAGGAAUCUGCCUGGUAGUGGGGGAUAACGUUCGGAAACGGACGCUAAUACCGCAUACGUCCUACGGGAGAAAGCAGGGGACCUUCGGGCCUUGCGCUAUCAGAUGAGCCUAGGUCGGAUUAGCUAGUUGGUGAGGUAAUGGCUCACCAAGGCGACGAUCCGUAACUGGUCUGAGAGGAUGAUCAGUCACACUGGAACUGAGACACGGUCCAGACUCCUACGGGAGGCAGCAGUGGGGAAUAUUGGACAAUGGGCGAAAGCCAGAUCCAGCCAUGCCGCGUGUGUGAAGAAGGUCUUCGGAUUGUAAAGCACUUUAAGUUGGGAGGAAGGGUUGUAGAUUAAUACUCUGCAAUUUUGACGUUACCGACAGAAUAAGCACCGGCUAACUCUGUGCCAGCAGCCGCGGUAAUACAGAGGGUGCAAGCGUUAAUCGGAAUUACUGGGCGUAAAGCGCGCGUAGGUGGUUUGUUAAGUUGGAUGUGAAAUCCCCGGGCUCAACCUGGGAACUGCAUUCAAAACUGACUGACUAGAGUAUGGUAGAGGGUGGUGGAAUUUCCUGUGUAGCGGUGAAAUGCGUAGAUAUAGGAAGGAGCACCAGUGGCGAAGGCGACCACCUGGACUAAUACUGACACUGAGGUGCGAAAGCGUGGGGAGCAAACAGGAUUAGAUACCCUGGUAGUCC
RNAcentral lists this ribosomal RNA (767 nucleotides) under uncultured bacterium. RNAcentral's name for it is "bacterial SSU rRNA". It matches the Rfam family "Bacterial small subunit ribosomal RNA", at positions 34 to 796 of the family's 1533-position model. The record is from RNAcentral.